AAGCAGCCAUUAUUUUUAAUUUGCUUGUAGGCUUCCAUAGCAUAGAGACGGCUCUGAUGGUUUAGCAAUAUAUCAAGUGGUGCUUUUAAGAAGGUGGUUUUUUUUGUCUUUCUAAUAAUCAAAGAUAUGUGCAUAGGAUACUCUUUGGACUGAAUUUUUGAGACUGUUAUCGUCCGAUGAUUGGGGACAUAUCUCAUAAAGACAAAUAUACCAUUUCACUAAUAAAAAUAAAUUUAAAAACAAAACAAAAAGAGAGUAAGAAACUCAGAAGGUUCAAGAGAUGAAGCUAGAUAGUAUUUUUGUCGAGAGAUGAAAACUAGUCUUGGCAAGUGUGGUCAAGCGAGCUUGAUUUCGACUAGAGGUUUUGGUUUAAGGUUUAAAGUUCAAGGUAGAGAAUUCCGACCAUGCUGUAAAAUUUUUAUCAGUAUCAUACUUUAUAUAUUAUUAGGAUU
Molecule: long non-coding RNA, 452 nt
Filed under: Capsella rubella
Lineage: Eukaryota; Viridiplantae; Streptophyta; Magnoliopsida; Brassicales; Brassicaceae
Description: long non-coding RNA (CRUB_LNC002693)
Source: RNAcentral